Molecule: ribosomal RNA, 110 nt
Filed under: Scophthalmus maximus (turbot)
Lineage: Eukaryota; Metazoa; Chordata; Actinopteri; Pleuronectiformes; Scophthalmidae
Source: RNAcentral
GCUCACGGCCACACCCGCCUGGUUCACGCCGGAUCUCGGAAGCUAAGAUAGGUUGGGCCUGGUUAGUACUUGGAUGGGAGACCGCCUAGGAAUACCAGGUGCUGUAAGCC